Oreochromis niloticus (Nile tilapia) is the source of this 1066-nucleotide long non-coding RNA. RefSeq lists it as uncharacterized. The transcript has 4 exons. The record is from RefSeq and is a predicted model, not a curated record. Lineage: Eukaryota; Metazoa; Chordata; Actinopteri; Cichliformes; Cichlidae.
UUUACACUGUACAGCCAGUAGAGAGCGGUGUCACUUAAUAUGAAAUGAAUGCUGAAGGAUGGACGGACCCUGCUCUUUCACAGCAUUCAAACCAGCACGUUUCUAUCAUGUGUGUCUGCCUCAUACCACAGUCCUUAUAUUUAUCUUGUUUAGCUCCUUAUUCUAUUAUAUUCAGACUUUCUUACAGAGGACUCUACUAUUUUAUUCAAAUCUCUAUAUAUUGAGUGCCGUAACCCUUCAUUUUGAUUUUUCUUGUUAUGCUGUUUUAUUUUACUGAGCUGUUCUGCUAUGUUUAAGCGUUGUUUGCUAUAGGUCAUGUUUAAUGUCGUGGCUCCUGUAAUGCAGGACUUUCCCAGGUUUGUGAUGAAAACCACCGAUCCCAAGAUUUUACAGUGAUGCUGUGUAAUAGUUCCAGUAGUUCAGUUUCUUGGGAUUGUUAGCCUGCUGGCCUGUCGGUUCCACUCGCAGUUCAGAUUAUUUAAAUCAAUGUGCCUGAGGAGGAAAUUAGUGGACAUGGAGAUUACUUUUAUUUUUAUUGGACAAAAAGAACUGCUAGGACAGAAACGUCUACAUUAUGCUGCUAACAAAACAGUCUCUUUGCGAGCAGCUGCACAGACAGCAUGCUAACACUAAUGUUAGUCAAGAAGAAUGCUGCCACAGACAGAUCCAAAGAGACUAGAGACUUUCUGAAAGGAUAAUGAAUAACUCCAAGCUUUUGUUAUGAGGAGUACAUUUCCAUAUCUCUGAUUAAUGUUGUUCUGGCAUAAGAAAAGAAAAUACAACACACUUGUCAAGCGUGUGUCGGUAGCAUCCAGCCACAGUGUGUGUUAGACAGAUUGUUCCAAACCACGGCUCUAAAUAUGCGGCUCAAUCCUCUGUUGUUGUUAGCAUCCAAGGCUAACACGCGGCAUCACAGCAGCCAAUGACAGACGUAGAGGAGGGGCAUACCAACAGAGAGCAUUUCCUGUGUCCUUCAUUUUCACAGAAUACAUUUGCAUUUUUGCGAGAAAUGCAUCCUUAAAAGAUGCAUGAAGAAAGAAAAGAAGAAAACAGUCAGCAUGAAGCG